AUUGAACGCUGGCGGCAUGCCUUACACAUGCAAGUCGAACGGCAGCACGGGAGCAAUCCUGGUGGCGAGUGGCGAACGGGUGAGUAAUGCAUCGGAACGUGCCAUUGAGUGGGGGAUAACGUAGCGAAAGUUACGCUAAUACCGCAUAUUCUGUGCGCAGGAAAGCAGGGGAUCGCAAGACCUUGCGCUCUUUGAGCGGCCGAUGUCAGAUUAGCUAGUUGGUGGGGUAAAGGCUCACCAAGGCGACGAUCUGUAGCGGGUCUGAGAGGAUGAUCCGCCACACUGGGACUGAGACACGGCCCAGACUCCUACGGGAGGCAGCAGUGGGGAAUUUUGGACAAUGGGCGCAAGCCUGAUCCAGCCAUUCCGCGUGCAGGAUGAAGGCCUUCGGGUUGUAAACUGCUUUUGUACGGAACGAAACGGCGAGCUCUAAUACAGUUUGCUAAUGACGGUACCGUAAGAAUAAGCACCGGCUAACUACGUG
Molecule: ribosomal RNA, 484 nt
Filed under: uncultured bacterium
Lineage: Bacteria
Description: bacterial SSU rRNA
Rfam family: Bacterial small subunit ribosomal RNA
Source: RNAcentral